This is a non-coding RNA of Arachis ipaensis, 3047 nucleotides long. NCBI's taxonomy places the organism in Eukaryota, Viridiplantae, Streptophyta, Magnoliopsida, Fabales, Fabaceae. The record is from RefSeq and is a predicted model, not a curated record.
GUUUUAGGUUGUCAAGAGGGAUUUAUCUUCAGACAUUUCUUAUGCUUCCUUGGCAGGGGACUAAGCAGUCUAUAAGAGACAGAAUUGGAAAUAACGUAGAUGUUUAUGGAUAUGGCAACAAGCGUUGUGUUUGCUGUUUCUUCCCUGCAGUACAUCCAGCGCCAGUACAACCACCACCUGAUUUGUUGAGCUUGGACGAUCCUGUUCCAGCAGCUGCCGAGCUGGAAGUCAAAAAUGCUUUGCCUUUAGCUAUUGUUCCCGUUGGUAAUUUUUUUUUCUUUCCCCCAUUUUUAUAAAUAUGCCGGACAAAAUCUUGUUGAUUUGCAUUUGUGAAACUUUAGAAUAAAUAGUGAUGGAUUCAUAGAGGAAGUGGACUGAACUGGUUUCUUUUCAAAUUUCAAUCAUAGUGAUGUUUUGCAUUAUUUGGUUCAAACUGCUUAAUAUUAGAAGCUGCGGUGUGUGCACAUUUUAAUAGUGGUUAAUCAUAUGUGAACAAUGUUCCAGUAGUAUUUUCCAUUUUCUGCAAUUUAUUGUUAUUUUAUAUUAGAAUGUUCCAAUCCAUAUUCACAACAGAUUAAAACAUACAUGCCUUGGUGUGGAUUGGAUAAUGCCUCUAUGAAUGGUGAUUUCAGCUGAUCAAACAACAUCUGCUGUUCCAAAUCAAACAAAUGGAACUACAGGAUGGAAAUUGGUGUUAGACAUUUUAUAAAUAACCAGAAAUUUACGUAUCUCUAGCCAUUGCCAAUAAAAUCUUUGAUAUAAUUUGGAACAUCCAAAAUUUGAAUCACCAAACCAGAUAGAAUCAAAAUGUGUUUGUUUUUGUUGUUUAAUCAGAAUUGAGGACCCAAACUUUAUAAAAUUUAUGAACAGUCGUAUUCUUUUCAUCAAAGAACAAACCAACUGCCAAUAUAAUUAGUUAAUAAUUACAACAUCACUCAAACUAAUUUCUAUAUUAACAAAUUUGAUCACAAUUAGAAUAAAAAUUCUAACAAUCGGCACUUGUUACGACUCCUAGUUCAAAUGAAAGUGCUACAGCAACUAGCAAACUGGUAUGUUUUUGGUCUACAAAAAGUAAAACUUUAUUCACUUUUCAGUUAACUUUAUUCACAUGUUACUUUUCUGUCACCUUUUGCUUGCGCAGAGAGGAGAUAUAACAAGUAUGCAACCUGGGCUUGAUGCUAUUAAGUUCUCUGAGCAGUGUAUUUACUCUUGCAUCUUUAUAGUUGAGGAAAGUGAGUGAGAAAAUCAGGGCAAUAGAAUAAUGAUAGGAUGAGAAGAUUACUUGUUGCACUCUAUUUAUAUAUAUUUAUCUAUUUAUAUAUAUGAAUGAAGUGAUGUGUAGCUCAUCUUUUUUUAUUUUUUAUUUUUUGACCUUUUUUUAACCCUUCUCUAGAGUACAACUACUGUCUAUAUUAUUCGAAUAAAGAUUAGUUAUUAUUGUACAAAGACACUUAAAGGAAGAAGAAGAAAAUCACUGCAUUUUUAAUUAUUAUAACCCUAUAGAAUAAAAUCUAUAUAAUAGGUUGUUGUUAAUCUUGUUAUUUUAUCAUUCUCCCUUUUGAAAAUAGAAUUAGAAAUUGUAUUUGACUAUUUUUUGUUCUUGUUCUUUUAUGUGUUAACUUUUUGCUAGAAUUUUCCUAUUUAAGUUAAAUUACUCUGCACCCUUCAGCUUCGGUUAACAGAGAGAUUGAUUCUUCUAUUAGCAAAGAAUUCAUUUAGUUCAAACUUUCUAAACUUUCACCAUGCAGUUUAAUUCAUAAACAUGAGUAUAAUCACAAUUAUAAGUUGAUGUUAAUUGUUUGUUAUGCUUAUUAUUGUUAAGUUGGUGAUCUCCAGAGCCUCAUGUUGAAGAGAAACCAUCUGAGAAGCCAUCUGAGGGCUCUAUCAACCGAGCUAUGUUAAUUUUCAUUGUGAAAAUUUUGAUUUUUCUUUAAUGCAACAUUAUCAUCAAAUUACAGAUUAUGAAACAUGUUUUUUUCAUUUUUCUUUUUUUGGGGUCUGCAGAAUGCUGUGCUUGCAAGAGUUGCAACGGAGAAGAGGGUGUCACUAGUCAAAGCAUGGGAAGAAAGUGAAAGGUCAAAAGCAGAAAACAAGUAUAACUGUCAUAUUGGGAUGUAUAAGAGGAGAAAUGAGGAGUCUUUGGCAGAAGUCCAGGCCGGAUUAUAGCUGAAACUGAAGAAAUGGAAUGAGGCUUAUGUUAGCUGUUACAAGAAGGUUAGGGCGUCAAAUAGUUUCAGUGCUGUUCCACUAUCACCGCUGCUGCCGCCACCCUCAAUAUCUUCGGAUGAGGACUAUGAUGAUAAGGAUGAAGAUGACACUGAAGAUUAUAGUUGAUAGUUUUAGUUUGGUUGAACAAUACACUGAGAAUUAUAUUUAAUGAUAUGUGGCAAGGAGGAGAAAACAGUAGACAUGCAAUAUUACUCCGUCUAUGAACAAGAGCAGUGUGGUUCGCGGCACACAUACAAUACUUGCCUUCAACCAGCUCAGUAACAUCAUAUGCUCAGUAGCUUUGGGAGAUUUUUCAAAGAAUUAAGAGGGAAGGAAAGGAGAGACAAGAUGAGAUGAUUAGUAGCAUAGGCUAUUUAAGUUAUAGUGUGCGAAAAGCAAGAAACAAGUAUAUAUAUAUGUUCCAAAACCAUGAUAUAAACCCAAAAGAAGCAAUUAAUAGAGCAUCAAGAUUACAAGCAAGAUUCAAUAGAGCAAGAGAUAGCCUAGCAAAUAAUCAGCAAAUCAGAGAAAGAAGGAAUGCUAGGCAGGUUACCUGGAAGCCUCUGCCAGAAGAUUGCGUAAAAGCCAAUGUUAAUGCUUCUGUGAGUAAAGAACGAGGAAUGUAGCCAAUGCAAUAGUUAUCAGAGGGUGGAGAGGAAACUCGGUUACUGGCACAGCUAAAAGAACUAUGAUAAAUUCUUGCAUUGCAGUACAGGCCCAUGCGUUUAGAGAAGCAGCGAUCAUGGUCAAGAAUCUAAACAUUGACAAAGCUCUAACAACCUGUUUGAAAACUUUUCAUGAUAUUGAUUGAAUUAAAUUCUAUUAAAAAUUACAUUUUA